This is a non-coding RNA of Chelonoidis abingdonii (Abingdon island giant tortoise), 859 nucleotides long. Lineage: Eukaryota; Metazoa; Chordata; Testudines; Testudinidae. The record is from RefSeq and is a predicted model, not a curated record.
UAGAGCGGUAUAAACAAGUCAUCGUCUGUAUAAAAUUUUAGUUUGUACUAACUUCACUAGCACUUUUUACGUGGCCUGUUGUAAAAUCAGCCCAAUAUCGAGAUGAGUUGUUGUACGCCUGGGGGCAAGCAGAGGUCUUCCAGGGGGUACAUGUACCCCUGGCUGUGAACCACUGGUCCACACGGACCCUGCUGACAUGCACUAACAGUUCAUUAAUGCACUUUGAUCUAAUCUGUUUCCAAGAGGACUAGAUCAAAGCGCAUUAACGCACUGUUACUGUGCAUCAGCAGGGUCCAUAACAGUUAGUGCACAGCGGGCUAGUGGGGGGCAGAUUCAUACCCCAGCUUGCCAUGAACUAAUUGGUUGUGUAGGAGACAAGCCCCAGGACUGCAGCCAAGGUGAGUAUAUAGAUAAUGCUAUUCACUCAUCUACUGUUCUUGGAAACCUUGUUAUUACAGAGUCUGUGCAAAUAAAGAGAAAAUCCCUCCAGAGAGGAUAUUCCAGCUAGAGAAAUCACACAUAAGGGACUAACAUUUGGGUUUCCAUAAACUGACCUAAGACGCUGGUCUGAUUAAAACUGUUUGAAUGUAGAGUGCAUUCUGAAUGUAGGGUGCAUUCAACAGAAUAAGAGAGCCUGAGGCGGAGCAGGGCUGAGAUGCGGAGAGAAUUAUUUGCAUGUCCAGUCCCAUGUCACAUGACAAGGAUUCAGGCCCCUGACACCUGAGACGGGUCAGUGUUCAGAUUCCGGUGGCUCAGGGUGCACUGGCCCAGAUUCACAGAGGGAGCCCAGCACUAGAAUAGCAGCAGGGGCUCCAGGACUGGCUGUGGAUCUUCAGCAGAGUGGUGAGCAGAGGCCUGC